AUCGAACGCUGGCGGCAGGCCUAACACAUGCAAGUAGAGCGGAGAGGCGGACGGGUGAGUAAUGCCUAGGAAUCUGCAUGGUAGUAGGAGAUAACGUCCGGAAACGGGCGCUAAUACCGCAUACUAUCACAUGAGCCUAGGUCGGAUUAGCUAGUUGGUGGGGUAAAGGCAUACCAAGGCGACGAUGCGGAACUGGUCUGAGAGGAUGAUCAGUCACACUGGAACGAAGACACGGUCCAGUCUACUACGGGAGGAAGCGGUGGGGAAUAUUGGACAUUGGGCGAAAUCCUGAUCCAGCCAUGCCGCGUGGGUGAAGAAGGUCUUCGGAUUGUAAAGCAUUUUAAGUUGGGAGGCGGUACCAACAGAAUAAGCACCGGCUAACUUCGUGCCAGCAGCCGCGGUAAUUC
This 407-nucleotide ribosomal RNA is filed under the name uncultured bacterium. RNAcentral describes it as "partial 16S ribosomal RNA". It matches the Rfam family "Bacterial small subunit ribosomal RNA", at positions 30 to 526 of the family's 1533-position model. The record is from RNAcentral.